CAAGGAAUAGUUUAUGAUUAGAAUGCCAGCUUUGGGUGCUGGUGGUGGGAUGUAUUUUUCUUCCUUGA
This 68-nucleotide transfer RNA is filed under the name Eospalax rothschildi (Rothschild's zokor). RNAcentral's name for it is "tRNA-Pro". Lineage: Eukaryota; Metazoa; Chordata; Mammalia; Rodentia; Spalacidae. The record is from RNAcentral.